UAGGUAUGCUUAGGGAGGAGCUUGCGUCACAUUAGUUAGUUGGUGGGGUAAAGGCCUACCAAGACUAUGAUGUGUAGCCGGGCUGAGAGGUUGAACGGCCACAUUGGGACUGAGACACGGCCCAAACUCCUACGGGAGGCAGCAGUAGGGAAUUUUCGGCAAUGGAGGAAACUCUGACCGAGCAACGCCGCGUGAACGAUGAAGUAUUUCGGUACGUAAAGUUCUUUUAUUAGGGAAGAAUAAAUGAUGGAAAAAUCAUUCUGACGGUACCUAAUGAAUAAGCCCCGGCUAACUAUGUGCCAGCAGCCGCGGUAAUACAUAGGGGGCAAGCGUUAUCCGGAAUUAUUGGGCGUAAAGGGUGCGUAGGCGGUUAAAUAAGUUUAUGGUCUAAGUGCAAUGCUCAACAUUGUGAUGCUAUAAAAACUGUUUAGCUAGAGUAAGAUAGAGGCAAGUGGAAUUCCAUGUGUAGUGGUAAAAUGCGUAAAUAUAUGGAGGAACACCAGUAGCGAAGGCGGCUUGCUGGGUCUUUACUGACGCUGAGGCACGAAAGCGUGGGGAGCAAACAGGAUUAGAUACCCUGGUAGUCCACGCCGUAAACGAUGAGUACUAAACGUUGGGUAAAACCAGUGUUGAAGUUAACACAUUAAGUACUCCGCCUGAGUAGUACGUACGCAAGUAUGAAACUUAAAGGAAUUGACGGGACUCCGCACAAGCGGUGGAUCAUGUUGUUUAAUUCGAAGGUACCCGAAAAACCUCACCAGGUCUUGACAUGCUUCUGCAAAGCUGUAGAAACACAGUGGAGGUUAUCAGUUGCACAGGUGGUGCAUGGUUGUCGUCAGCUCGUGUCGUGAGAUGUUGGGUUAAGUCCCGCAACGAGCGCAACCCUUAUUGUUAGUUACCAGCACGUAAUGGUGGGGACUUUAGCAAGACUGCCAGUGAUAAAUUGGAGGAAGGUGGGGACGACGUCAAAUCAUCAUGCCCCUUAUGACCUGGGCUACAAACGUGAUACAAUGGCUGUUACAAAGGGUAGCUGAAGCGCAAGUUUUUGGCGAAUCUCAAAAAAACAGUCUCAGUUCGGAUUGAAGUCUGCAACUCGACUUCAUGAAGU
Molecule: ribosomal RNA, 1108 nt
Filed under: 'Populus nigra' phytoplasma
Lineage: Bacteria; Bacillati; Mycoplasmatota; Mollicutes; Acholeplasmatales; Acholeplasmataceae
Description: bacterial SSU rRNA
Rfam family: Bacterial small subunit ribosomal RNA
Source: RNAcentral